GAUAAACGCUGGCGGCGUGCAUGAGACAUGCAAGUCGAACGGACGAUCAGGGCUUGCUCUGUUCGUUAGUGGCGGACGGCUGAGUAACGCGUAGGUGACCUGCCCCGAAGUGGGGAAUAACUGCCCGAAAGGGUGGCUAAUACCGCAUGUGGUGAUGCCUUCACUGGCAUCAGUAAAGCCGCAAGGCGCUUCGGGAGGGGCCUGCGUCCGAUUAGCUCGUUGGUGGGGUAACGGCUCACCAAGGCGACGAUCGGUAGGUGGUCUGAGAGGACGAUCACCCAGACUGGGACUGAGACACGGCCCAGACUCCUACGGGAGGCAGCAGUCGGGAAUUUUGCGCAAUGGACGAAAGUCUGACGCAGCAACGCCGCGUGAGGGAUGACGGCCUUCGGGUUGUAAACCUCUUUUGUCAGGGAAGAUGAUGACGGUACCUGACGAAUAAGUCACGGCUAACUACGUGC
RNAcentral lists this ribosomal RNA (461 nucleotides) under uncultured bacterium. RNAcentral's name for it is "bacterial SSU rRNA". It matches the Rfam family "Bacterial small subunit ribosomal RNA", at positions 28 to 508 of the family's 1533-position model. The record is from RNAcentral.